This 443-nucleotide ribosomal RNA is filed under the name Diclidophlebia dahli. RNAcentral describes it as "partial large subunit ribosomal RNA". Lineage: Eukaryota; Metazoa; Arthropoda; Insecta; Hemiptera; Liviidae. The record is from RNAcentral.
ACUGUACAAAGGUAGCAUAAUYAUUAGUCUUUUAAUUAAAGGCUUGUAUGAAUGGCUGGACGGAAGCUAAACUUUUUUUUUAUUAAAAUUUUUGAAUUUAGUAUUUAAGUUAAAAAACUUAAUUUUUUUUGAGUGACGAGAAGACCCUAUAGAACUUUAUAUGAAAAUUGAAAUUUUUAUUUGRUUGGGGUGACAUAAAAUAAACUUUUUACUUUUUUAUCAUUUUAAAUGAUUUUUAGAUCCUAAAUUUUAGAAUAAAGAAAAAGUUACCUUAGGGAUAACAGCAUAAUUUUUUUUAAAAGAUCUUAUUAGUAAAAAAGAUUAUGACCUCGAUGUUGAAUUAAGAUAAUGUUUUGGUGUAGAAUUUAAAAUAUUUAGUCUGUUCGACUUUUAWUUUUACAUGAUUUGAGUUCAGACCGGCGUGAGCCAGGUCGGCUUCUAUC